UAUUUUUUAAUCUUUUGAAGGGAAGAUUAUGAGUAUUCAUUUAUGCAAGGAAACUCAGCCCUUAGACGUAUAACCAUGUAAUUCUUUAUGAGCAUUUAGAGUACUGCAUGGUUGACAGACAUCUAGUUCUUCACUAAAAAUAACCCCCCCGUACACGUAUUUCGAGACUGAAUAUGAAGCCUGUAAAAGACCAACUGACUUUUUAGUUGUAAUGAACCGUCAGUGAUUUUGCACGGUUGACACACCUGUGUGUACUGCAGGCCAGGACUCGGCAGAGGACAUAUUCUAGGUUUACUGGUAUAUAUAGAAACAGGAGUUUGCUUGUUUAUAUGUUCCACACUCAAAAAGGCAUAAUCAAAAUGUUUCUAAAUAAUGAUUUUACAAAAACCAUCAUUUACAUAAUUUGUAUAAAAAGCUUAAUACAAUUUUAAUCAAAAUUUUAAGUAAUUUAAAAAAUGCUUUAAGAUUCUAUAUUUCUGGAGUACCUAUGAAGUGGUAUGACUACAUCAUGUGAAAUAUUUAUUUUCUUCUUUAACUUUGGAGUAGCAGUCCUCUGCCUUAGUCACAGUGGCAGCAGUGCAGAAAACUCUCUCAAACCUCAGAAUAUAGUAGAAAUAAUUAAAGCUGUUGAAUGAGUCUUAAAAAUCAUACUACUGUUAAGUGGACCAAGUUUGGUGA
RNAcentral lists this long non-coding RNA (678 nucleotides) under Bos taurus (domestic cattle). RNAcentral describes it as "long non-coding RNA NONBTAT026008". Lineage: Eukaryota; Metazoa; Chordata; Mammalia; Artiodactyla; Bovidae. The record is from RNAcentral.